Long non-coding RNA from Homo sapiens (human), 1128 nucleotides. Ensembl annotates it as long intergenic non-protein coding RNA 1717. The record is from Ensembl. NCBI's taxonomy places the organism in Eukaryota, Metazoa, Chordata, Mammalia, Primates, Hominidae.
UUCUCCUUACCAAACUCUACAAAUAAUCUUCUGUCUUAAGAGCACCCAGGAUGUGUUUUCAUUGGAAUUAGCUAGCCCUGGGAAAGACAGUCCCUCCAGAGUUAGCAACACCCCAAGAUGUCAAAGAUAAAAAUGCAAAAAUUAAAACUCCAUGAUUAACACAACUUUGAAGUCCUUCUCACUUGUCUUUAGAUGAAGGGCAACAUCAUUGCAACAAGUCACACUUUGAGAACUCAAGAGAAUAUGUUUGUUCUGAAAAUCCAGGAAUUAUUGCCAACCCAUGGUUGUCUCCAUAUGUCUUGGGAAAAAUAGGAAAAGGAUUUUUUGAGUUGGUGAUUUGAAUCCAAGACACAAAGAUUCAGGCUCUGGUAAAAAGAUUGUAUAGGCUAUAUUGGCUGACAUAAAAGAGACAUAAAAGGCACACAAUGAAAUCUUAAUAAAUGUAUUGGAUGUUGCAGCAUUAACUGAUGAGCCAGACAAUGUAAAGACCUCAGACUACCAAAUGUUUUGAAAGACGAAUAGUGAAUGUGAAACUGUGAACCAAAAUAGAUUUUUAGAAUCCUUGAAAAAAUAGAGCUAGAGAAAGUCUUUGAGACCAUUGAUUGCAAAUAUUUGAGUUUACAACUGAGCAAAUGGAGAAAAGAGAAGUGACUCGUCAGUCCAACAAGUGGCAGAAUCAGAACCAGACCCCAAUGCUUGGGUCUUCUGUCCCUCCUGGCACCAAAGUCACCUAUCAUAAGUAACUUGAGUUUCAGAGGGGAAGGAAAAGACUACAAUGUCCCAGCACUGUUCCAGACACUUUUUAGGGGACUCCAAGACACCUUGUGUAAUGCCUAUUUUAAGUAGCUGGAAGAUUCUAUAGCAUGGGAAAAGCCCACUGAAGGCAAAAGUAAACAUUACCUAUUGUGGUCCUGGAAAAGAAAAUCAUCUCUCAUUUAUCUCCUGGAGCUGUUUGACGAACUUGGUGCUGUCUCAGUGGAAUAGUCAACCAAUGUAUCCUACAUUUUGGACCAGCAGAAGGAAGUAAUGAGAACAGAAAACAAAUAAGAAGUGAGUUGGAGGGAGAAGGAGACUUUAGCAUCUUCCUGAAAUCAGGAAGAAAGUUUCAAGAAUAAAGUAAUCCAUAGG